This 234-nucleotide ribosomal RNA is filed under the name Brachymyrmex sp. JTL07. Its description in RNAcentral is "partial large subunit ribosomal RNA". Lineage: Eukaryota; Metazoa; Arthropoda; Insecta; Hymenoptera; Formicidae. The record is from RNAcentral.
GAAUUUAAUAUAUUAUUUAAAUUAAUUAUUUAGUUAGUUGAAAAAUUUUAUAUUUAUAUUUUGUUGGGAGGAUAUUUAAAUUUUAUAAACUUUAAGUUUAAAUAAAAACAUAAAUUAAUGAAAAAUAAAUGAAUAAUAAUUUAAUUAAAUUUUUUUAAUAUUAUUUUAGAAUUAAUUACCUUAGGGAUAACAGCGUAAUAUUUUUGGAAAGAUCAUAUUAAUAUAAGUGUUUGC